RNAcentral lists this ribosomal RNA (468 nucleotides) under uncultured bacterium. RNAcentral describes it as "partial 16S ribosomal RNA". It matches the Rfam family "Bacterial small subunit ribosomal RNA", at positions 28 to 507 of the family's 1533-position model. The record is from RNAcentral.
GACGAACGCUGGCGGCGUGCUUAACACAUGCAAGUCGAACGGAAAGGCCCUGCUUUUGUGGGGUGCUCGAGUGGCGAACGGGUGAGUAACACGUGAGUAACCUGCCCUUGACUUUGGGAUAACUUCAGGAAACUGGGGCUAAUACCGGAUAGGAGCUCCUGCUGCAUGGUGGGGGUUGGAAAGUUUCGGCGGUUGGGGAUGGACUCGCGGCUUAUCAGCUUGUUGGUUGGGUAGUGGCUUACCAAGGCUUUGACGGGUAGCCGGCCCGAGAGGGUGACCGGCCACAUUGGGACUGAGAUACGGACCAGACUGCUACGGGAGGCAGCAGUGGGGAAUAUUGCCCAAUGGGAGGAAGCCUGAUGAAGCAACGCCGCGUGCGGGAUGACGGCCUUCGGGUUGUAAACCGCUUUCGCCUGUGACGAAGCGUGAGUGACGGUAAUGGGUAAAGAAGCACCGGCUAACUACGUG